GUCUACGGCCAUGCCACCCUGAGCAAGCCCGAUCCCGUCUGGUCUCGGAAGCUAAGCAUGGUCGGGCCUGAUUAGUACUUGGAUGGGAGACCACCUGGGAAGACCAGGUGCUAUAGGUG
This 119-nucleotide ribosomal RNA is filed under the name Pteropus alecto (black flying fox). The record is from RNAcentral. Lineage: Eukaryota; Metazoa; Chordata; Mammalia; Chiroptera; Pteropodidae.